CAAAUCAAAAACUGAGAAAUCGGGCAUGCAAAAUUAUUCAGCCCCUUUACUUUUUACUUCAAUGUUUCAAUAGUUGUUUUUUUAAAGUAUGCUUGCGUAACACAGCCCUUCUAGGACAGCCAUUCCACUUCCUAUUAGUCCCAUUCCAAUGAAUAUAAUUUGCAGUACGUCUUGCAGUGACAGCAGGUUAAGGGUAGAAAAAAUUGAGGUUAGUUAUAAAAAGUAAUUUUAUAUAAAUCAAUGGAAUUACAUAACAACCCAUUAGUCAUAUAGGCUAUGUUAGUGAUCAUAUCAUUACUUUUAUUUAUUUAAGCAGAACUUUGCGCGUUUAAAAAAAAAUUGAUUGAGAAACAAAACAGUCGGUUGCUUUAGCAAUGAGAAAAUUCCAUUGGUCAUAAAGUAAUAUUCCUCUCACCUUGCGAGUUUAAAUGAAAUCACCAAAUCGACGCAUAUCUUAGUGGCUAGCUAUGUGAACAGUGUCUGGUAAACAUUAACGUUAGCCAGUACAAUCUUUGCUUCCGAAGCAGCACGUGGAAAAUUGAUUCAGAUUAUAUGGUAAGAAAUGAAAAUAAUAAAUAUGACGUACCAGAAGAAACCGAAUUACAUGUUUCAUUCAAUAAUUAAGUGGAUUGGAAAGGAGAAAGUAUAAUUGGUCCAUUUGGCGCAAGCUACCUAACGUUCGCUAGCUUGCUAUCGUUAUCUAACGUGACCUGGCUGGCAUGCAUUUUGAGACCACAUGGUAUAUUCAAUUACAAACCAAAAUAAAACACCGUCAGGAAAAAGUUUGGAGUAAUGAAAACACGGAGGAGGCUAUAGGGUCAUGUCAAUCAGUAAUGGCAUAUGUAAUGUUUAAAGUACCAAGGUCCACCACAGGUGACAGAAAAAGUGGAAAGGUUCCUUCCCCCCACCAAGGCCAGAGUGGCAUACGGCACUGCCAUUAGGAGUUAGAAGAAACUCCGGAGGUAACGUCACCCCAUUAGGCCAAACAUAGUGGUUGUUUUUUAGACGGAGGCAAAACCCCAGAGCAUGCAGAAGGUAGACGACGUCCUUAAUAGAUGCACAGCCAACCAGGCUACAAAACCGGAUAUGACUGAAUACUUUGAGCUCCUGGAGAAGACGCUGGAGCAACAUGGGUUGAAGGAUAAACCCUGUCAGAUUUACAACUGUGCUGAGACAGGGUUCCAGAUGGAUGCAUCUAAAAGAAAGGUCCUUGCACCAAAGCGCUCAAAAUAAUUGCAUCCAGUCACUUGGUACACGUCACCGUGUGUCAGUACUGGCUUGCUUUAAUGCGGCUGGUGAAGAUGUCCCCCCUUUCAUAAUUUUUGUAAAGAGAUUCCCAGGAGGACCUUACACCAAGGAAGGUACAGCUAAUGCUCUGAAACAUCGCCAUCAGGAUACAUUGACUAUGAACUCGUCAGGGGGUGGUUUAGGAAUCAUUUAAUCAAGUAUGCUGUGAAAACACGCCCCCUGCUGCUGGUGUUUGAUGGAAACAAAAGUCACCUUGAUCCGGAUGUGAUUGAGGCAGCAAGAAAAUAACAUUGUGGUCCUAGUUCUUCCUCCAAACAGCUCUCACGUUCUGCAGCCCUUGGAUUUGACCUACUUCUCUGCUUUGAAGACUGGGUUUUUCAAGGUGGUUGGAGACCUUUGCCACUUAAACUCCGUAGUCAUUUCCAAUAUGGACUUUCCCGUGGUUCUCCGUAAGCCGUACCAGCAAUGUAAAGAGCGGAAGAUUGUAGUCAGUGGGUUCAGAAAAAUUGUGAUCUUCCCCUUUAAUCCCAGUGCCAUAGAUUGGAGUAAAGUAGUUCCCUUGACAUCCAAAAAGCAACAGCCCCAAAAGACUGCGACUCCAUCAGCGCCACUCCAUCAGCGCCACCAUCAGCAGUAACUCCCAGCAAGUACAUGUCCACACCCUGGUGGCAGCAGGACUGAAUAAUCCAGAAUUGGCUGAGGUCUUCACAGAGAUGGAUAAUUAAAAGAAGACUGCACCAAGACCAAGUAAGAUGAAGACCCCACUGUAAGCUAGGGUUAUUGAGGAAGAGUAUGAGAGGGAGAUGAGACUGGAGUCUGCAAGGAAAAGAGACAGCAAGACACCACCUCCUCGUAGCACAACCCCCCCGAUGCCACGGAGAACCUCCAACCAGCCCUGCUACUUCUCCAUCAGAGGGGGAAACUGCAUCUCCCGCAGGUCACAUCAGAGUACUGAGGAGGGGAGAGACUGAGAACUGGAAGCUGAACAACAAAAUAGCAGAGGUCCUCAAACCAAGAGAGCUGGGUUGAGGCACAAGAGAUUGGACUAUGGUGAUAACUCCCAACGAUGAGGAUGGUUAUGGUAUCAAUCAAGCCUCAGCCAAGAAUCGGAUGAUGACAUCACCGAUGACAGUUCAGAUGACGAACCCUUGGUUAAGAUGAUGACCAGGAAGCCAUCAAAUGAGGAGCUGAAAACAACAGUUAAGAAACUGGGUGCCCAUGUCGACCUGGAGAAAGUCACAAGGACAUUUUCAAGAAGGUUUUUAAAAUGUACCCUCGUCAUGACCUGUCAAACAAGAAUUCCUACAUCAAGGAGACAGUGAAAAAGUUGUCGGAGUGAAGUCUGGAGUUCUUUGCUAAACGCCACCCUCCAUGAGGCGGCAGCAAGUAGCCUAGUGGUUAGCAUUGGGACAGUAACCAAAAAGGUUUCUGGAUCGAAUCCCGUGCGGACAAGGUAAAAAGUGUCAUUCUGCCCCUGAAGCAAGGCAGUUUAACUCACUGUUCCCCGUGCGCCGAAGACGUGGAUGUUGAUUAAGGCAGCCCCUCCCCCCCACCCCGCAC
Molecule: long non-coding RNA, 2808 nt
Organism: Oncorhynchus gorbuscha (pink salmon)
Lineage: Eukaryota; Metazoa; Chordata; Actinopteri; Salmoniformes; Salmonidae
Exons: 6
Source: RefSeq, a predicted model, not a curated record